Molecule: long non-coding RNA, 302 nt
Organism: Leopardus geoffroyi (Geoffroy's cat)
Lineage: Eukaryota; Metazoa; Chordata; Mammalia; Carnivora; Felidae
Exons: 2
Source: RefSeq, a predicted model, not a curated record
GCCUCCAGACAGCCUCCUGCUUCCACCCUGGCUCCCUGCAGUCCGUUCUCAGUGUAACAGAUGGAGCGAUCCUGUUAAAAAAUCAGAAGACGACGACAAAUCACGUCAUUAUCUCACAGGUGGAGGAAGUGGCCAGGCGUCCAGAAAAUGACCUCUAGAAGAUGGAAAGAGUAAGGAAAUUGAUUCUCUAGAGUCUCCAGAAGGAAGACAGCCCUGACAGCACCUUGAGUUUCGCUUAGUGAGACCCAUUUCUGACUUCGGACCUCCAGAACUGUGAGAUAGUAAACAUGUGUGAUUGUAAA